AACGUAGGACGCAAGCGUUAUCCGGAGUUACUGGGCGUAAAGCGCGGGCAGGCGGUCUUGCCAGUCUGAUGUGAAAUCUCUCAGCUCAACUGGGAGCAGCCAUUGGAAACUACAAGACUGGAGUCUGGCAGAGGUAGGCGGAAUUCCGGGUGGAGUGGUGAAAUGCGUAGAGAUCCGGAGGAACACCAGAGGCGAAGGCGGCCUACUGGGGCAGUACUGACGCUGAGCCGCGAAAGCCAGGGGAGCGAACGGG
This 253-nucleotide ribosomal RNA is filed under the name uncultured bacterium. Its description in RNAcentral is "partial 16S ribosomal RNA". It matches the Rfam family "Bacterial small subunit ribosomal RNA", at positions 524 to 776 of the family's 1533-position model. The record is from RNAcentral.